GACGAACGCUGGCGGCGUGCUUAACACAUGCAAGUCGAACGGUAAGGCCCUUCGGGGUACACGAGUGGCGAACGGGUGAGUAACACGUGGGUGAUCUGCCCUGCACUUCGGGAUAAGCCUGGGAAACUGGGUCUAAUACCGGAUAGGACUCCGGACUGCAUGGUCUGGGGUGGAAAGCUUUUGCGGUUUGGGAUGGGCCCACGGCCUAUCAGCUUGUUGGUGGGGUGAUGGCCUACCAAGGCGACGACGGGUAGCCGGCCUGAGAGGGUGACCGGCCACACUGGGACUGAGAUACGGCCCAGACUCCUACGGGAGGCAGCAGUGGGGAAUAUUGCACAAUGGGCGCAAGCCUGAUGCAGCGACGCCGCGUGAGGGUUGACGGCCUUCGGGUUGUAAACCUCUUUCAGCAUCGACGAAGCGAAAGUGACGGUAGGUGCAGAAGAAGGACCGGCCAACUACGUGCCAGCCGCCGCGGUAA
This 478-nucleotide ribosomal RNA is filed under the name uncultured bacterium. Its description in RNAcentral is "partial 16S ribosomal RNA". It matches the Rfam family "Bacterial small subunit ribosomal RNA", at positions 28 to 523 of the family's 1533-position model. The record is from RNAcentral.